UUUCCUUCUCAGCUUUAGGCUAAGAUCAAGUGUAGUAUCUGUUCUCGUUAGUUUAAUAAAAAAUAAUGUGUGUGGGAGUCGGGCGGUAGCACAGCAGGUUAAGCGCAUGUGGUGCAAAGUGCAAGGACCAGUA
This 133-nucleotide small nuclear RNA is filed under the name Erinaceus europaeus (western European hedgehog). RNAcentral describes it as "U2 spliceosomal RNA". It matches the Rfam family "U2 spliceosomal RNA". Rfam says of the family: U2 is a small nuclear RNA (snRNA) component of the spliceosome (involved in pre-mRNA splicing). Lineage: Eukaryota; Metazoa; Chordata; Mammalia; Eulipotyphla; Erinaceidae. The record is from Rfam by way of RNAcentral.